UCCAGACUCCUACGGGAGGCAGCAGUGGGGGAUAUUGCACAAUGGGGGGAACCCUGAUGCAGCGACGCCGCGUGGGUGAAGGAGCGUUUCGGCGCGUAAAGCCCUAUCGGCAGGGAAGAAGGAGGACGGUACCUGACUAAGAAGCCCCGGCUAACUACGUGCCAGCAGCCGCGGUAAUACGUAUGGAGCAAGCGUUAUCCGGAUUUACUGGGUGUAAAGGGAGCGCAGGCGGCCUUGCAAGUCUGAUGUGAAAGGCCGGGGCCCAACCCCGGGACUGCUCUUGGAACUGCGCGGCUGGAGUGCAGGAGGGGCAGGCGGAAUUCCUGGUGUAGCGGUGAAAUGCGUAGAUAUCAGGAGGAACACCGGUGGCGAAGGCGGCCUGCUGGACUGCGACUGACGUUGAGGCCCGAAAGCGUGGGGAGCAAACAGGAUUAGAUACCCCCGUAA
RNAcentral lists this ribosomal RNA (447 nucleotides) under uncultured bacterium. Its description in RNAcentral is "partial 16S ribosomal RNA". It matches the Rfam family "Bacterial small subunit ribosomal RNA", at positions 330 to 793 of the family's 1533-position model. The record is from RNAcentral.